Long non-coding RNA from Homo sapiens (human), 1842 nucleotides. Ensembl annotates it as long intergenic non-protein coding RNA 1965. NCBI's taxonomy places the organism in Eukaryota, Metazoa, Chordata, Mammalia, Primates, Hominidae. The record is from Ensembl.
GGGUUCCUAAGGACGGCCCGUCUGUCAGCAGGCAAGCAGGCCCUGCUAGAGUGCCCAGAGAAGCUUGAGGUGGGAAAACUGGAAAGAUUGAAUGUCCUUUGGAGUUCACAGAGGUUUGGCAGUGGGAGGAGAAAAACAAAACGAAGCAUAGUGGGAGUGUUGAACAGACUUUCCCAAGAUCCCCAGGUGGGUUUCAUGUAUUGCCUAAUGGGAAGAGUGGGACCGAUUCAGCUUUUCACACUGGCUGAAUUAUCUUACCUGGGCUAUUGUUCACAGCUAGAACCAAAUCUACAAAGCUACAGUUUAUCUAAAGAAUUCUUUGGAAAGAAAACUAUUUCACUAUCCACACAUCUAGAUCCCACAUAUUGGACAGCGCAGGCUGUAGCCUCAGUCUCUAAAGUCCAGACUAUAAAAUUAAAAAAAAAAAAGUUCACAGUGUGAAAUCAUAUUUAUUCUAAAAGUAAAGAAUAAAACCUUUUCUGGCCAUUGGUGCAUAAUAGCAAAAUUUUGCUUGAAACUCAGCCAAAGAUGCCAUAAACUAUAAUAAAACGAAAGAUACCUCAUGUUCAUCAAAGUAUAUUCACAACGAGUAGUCAGGAGACUCACUACUUUCACAUUGGAAGAGAUAUUUCUGGUAAUGGCCACUGAAAUUCACUACUGGGCUUCCACAUUAAAAAAUUAAAGCCUGUCAAAUUCCUUGGGCCAGGGUAGAAGUAAAAUAGAAAAUAAAUAGCUAGAGUUCCAAACCAUUAUCUGUUUUAAAGAUUGUGAUGUGGAGCAUUGAAGUGCUAAUCUAUAUUGUAAUGCCAUCCAAUCUUUUGAAUGGAGUGCAUGUAUGUGUGUGUGUAUGUAGUUUGAUUAUGAUAAAAGUUGUUAAUAUGUGACUAUGCUAUGUGCAAGUGUGACAAAAACUCAAAAUCAGAAAAAAAUUAAUUAGAACAGAUCAAGUUCAUAUAAAACUGCUAUCCUUCUGGCCGCUGGAGUUAAACUGAAACAUUUUCCUGUACUUGCCAUAUCUCCACAUUCAUUUCUCCUUACCAAAAGAAGAAGUAGAGAAUGUCUCUCCUCGUAAAAGUCGUAUAUAAAUUUUAGCUAACAACCAUUCAGUGUUGGCAAUUUCAACUUAUAAAAGAAUCCAUUACCCCAAGAGCCAUUUACACUGGGAAUGUGAAUAAGAAGAAUCUUGACACACACACAGGCAGGCACACACACACACACACACACACACACACUUAUUGAUUACCUACUAUGGGUCAUUUAAUCCAGCUAGUUGAUGUUAUCUGCUUCUUAACAACCACAAACUCAGCAACUGUAGUUAUUUUCUACAACAUUCAAUUAGGGGUUUAGUAAUCAUAAAUAUCAACAAAAUAGAGAUUUUAAUUAAAUUUAGUAAGGCAGAAAUUAUACAGGUAUAAUUAUACUCUUUUCUACCACUGAGCUAUGCAGAGGUAUAAUCACUAAGUGGAGAAAUUAAAGUAGCAUUCUAAUAGAACUUGGAAGUUCUAUGAGAUGAAUUCCUAUAUAUUUAGAUACUAUCCCCUGAAACUUCUGCUUCUGUACCUCUCCAUCAUCCUUUAACUUUAUGACAAUGAUAUUGGCUAAAAAGAACACCUGACUGUCCUCAUGUAAGGAGAAAUCUUUAAUGUAGGACAUUGAGGUUUCAAUUUUAUGUUCAAUAUUUAUCAUUUAUGCUCUACAUCUAUAAAGUGAGGGAGACAGAUACAGAGAGGGAGAGACAGGCAUACACACACACAUGCACACACACAAGCACACACAUAUAUACACAUCCACACAUGGUUAAAAUAAAUAUUAAAUGUUAUCCCAAGACAAUAAGUAGAAAAA